This 429-nucleotide ribosomal RNA is filed under the name Pseudomonadota bacterium. RNAcentral describes it as "Proteobacteria bacterium partial 16S ribosomal RNA". It matches the Rfam family "Bacterial small subunit ribosomal RNA", at positions 355 to 776 of the family's 1533-position model. Lineage: Bacteria; Pseudomonadati; Pseudomonadota. The record is from RNAcentral.
UGGGGAAUAUUGGACAAUGGGCGAAAGCCUGAUCCAGCCAUGCCGCGUGUGUGAAGAAGGUCUUCGGAUUGUAAAGCACUUUAAGUUGGGGGGAAGGGCAGUAAGCGAAUACCUUGCUGUUUUGACGUUACCGACAGAAUAAGCACCGGCUAACUCUGUGCCAGCAGCCGCGGUAAUACAGAGGGUGCAAGCGUUAAUCGGAAUUACUGGGCGUAAAGCGCGCGUAGGUGGUUCGUUAAGUUGAAUGUGAAAGCCCCGGGCUCAACCUGGGAACUGCAUCCAAAACUGGCGAGCUAGAGUAGGGCAGAGGGUGGUGGAAUUUCCUGUGUAGCGGUGAAAUGCGUAGAUAUAGGAAGGAACACCAGUGGCGAAGGCGACCACCUGGGCUCAUACUGACACUGAGGUGCGAAAGCGUGGGGAGCAAACAGG